Molecule: long non-coding RNA, 876 nt
Organism: Bos taurus (domestic cattle)
Lineage: Eukaryota; Metazoa; Chordata; Mammalia; Artiodactyla; Bovidae
Source: Ensembl
CUUCUGUCCUGUUUAGAGCCGUCCAGCCACAGCUGACGCUGGGAAACAUUCCUGAAUGAAUUAAGAACAGCCGGGGAGAAAGCGGAGUCGGGUGGAGGCGAAAGACCAGCGGCAGGUGGACAGAGGGAGGAAGGACAGAGAGGAGGGGUCGCCCCCACAAGGGCCAGGCCGGGAGUCUGGAGGAGCCCCCUGCCGGGAAUGCAGCUGGGGAAAGAGGUUAUUAGGUGCAGUCCUGAGAACGGGGCAGGGAUGAGAGGCAGGGAAUUUGUUACUCGAAAACUGGGCUCGACUCGGUGGACGUUGCGCCAAGAGACACAGUCAAGCCAAACAGCGGGAGAAGGAAGCAUUUAUUACUUGCAGCAAUUCGCUCUGUUUUUCUUCACCCUUGCCUUCCAUUCUGGGAGGGAAGAUCCACCUCAACAGGGUGGGCUCCUCUCACGAGCCCACCUCCGGCGGCCCCCUCCCUCGGACCUUGCCAAGACACCGAGACGAGCUCCAGGACAGGACUCUCCACUUGCCUUCUGGACUGACAUCCACACACUGGCCCACAUUUCAUCCCUCAGUUGCAAGGGGUCACGAUGUCUCAUCUCCUUGAUCUGAAUGUCACGAGGGAGCCUUGGGAUUGCUCAGACGUGAAAGGAAGCCUGUCAUUCUGCUGGGUUGGUCGGUGGUUUCUCCUCUCUGCUGCCUUCCUGCAAAGCGGAUCGCUGUCAAGAUUGAAAAAUGUAAACAUGUCUGACAAAGCCCCCUUUCACAGAGAGCUAUAGUCUCCAGCACAUGCCCACCUGCCUGCCCAGUCUUGCUGCUGUCCACCAUCCUCCCAACAUGUCCUGUGAUGCAGCCCACCCCAGAAACCAGAAGUUUUCCCCCAGAAUC